Molecule: long non-coding RNA, 1147 nt
Filed under: Canis lupus dingo (dingo)
Lineage: Eukaryota; Metazoa; Chordata; Mammalia; Carnivora; Canidae
Description: lncRNA (ENSCAFG00020007406.1)
Source: RNAcentral
CCGCGACCCCCUUGCCGGCUGCUCCCGCGCGUGCCUGGGGCCGCACCUCGCUCGGCCCCGGGGUGCCCCAGCUGAGCGCGCGGGAACCCGAAGGAAAGACUCAGCCACGUUAAAGCGGGGCGUGGCAGAGGCCUCCGGGCCUCCCGGGACCCCUCUGAAAACAAAAGCGAUUCGCCUCCCCCGCCCCGCCCCCUCCUUUGCAAACUCGAGUCUCCUGGGAAGGAUCCCCCGUUGCCUGCAGACGGGCUCUGGGCAGAUCUGGGUUCAAAUCCCAGCAUCCCGUGCCUUGAGGGAGCCCCCACAUCGUGAGCGCCUCAGCUGUGAGACUGGAUUUACCAACCCACCCCUCUGGUGUCGAUAAAAUUAAGUGAGAUCGUGCAUGCCCAGGGUUGAGAAACUAGUAAGGACCCAAUAAGUGUUAGCUGCUGUGGCUUUUAAUGGGAUUGCCCUUGCUAUGAAAAUAGCUUGAAUCCCGGCUCUGUCACUGGCUCUGGCUGAGGGCCCUAAGGAUCCUGUGGCCCGCUGAGACUCAGUUUUCCCUGUGAUACGAGGCAGACCUUUUCUUCGGAGCUGUGGCAUACAGGUGGGGGUCCAUAAAUGCAGGCUCGUGCCCAAGUGGAGGAGGAGAGUGGAGGCCUCCAUGGAGCUUCUCCAGGGUCCCCGGAGUCUCCAGAGCGUGCAGCUUGGCUCUUGGCUGACCUCGGACUCCCUUAGAAACCGGAGGAUUUUAACAGAAAGAAAAAGAAGGAGGAGAAGGAAGAGAAUGACACCGACCUGGAAUCUGCCCACUUCUCACCCCUUCCCCAACCCCCAGCUGGUCUGGUCCCAUCGCUCACCUGGACCAGCACAGUAGCCUCCUCCCAGGGCUCCCAGCUCCACCCUUUACUUCCUAGUAUAUUUUCCCCAGAAAAGCCUGAGGAUGUUGGGAUCCCUGGGUGGCGCAGCGGUGUGGCGCAGCGGUGUGGCGCCUGCCUUUGGCCCAGGGCGCGAUCCUGGAGACCCGGGAUCGAAUCCCACGUCGGGCUCCCGGUGCAUGGAGCCUGCUUCUCCCUCUGCCUGUGUUUCUGCCUCUCUCUCUCUCUCUCUCUUUCUCUGUGUGAUGACUAUCAUAAAUAAAUAAAAUUAAAAAAAAAAAAAAGCCUGAGGA